Molecule: long non-coding RNA, 524 nt
Organism: Alexandromys fortis (reed vole)
Lineage: Eukaryota; Metazoa; Chordata; Mammalia; Rodentia; Cricetidae
Exons: 4
Source: RefSeq, a predicted model, not a curated record
GCGGCGUAGGCGCCUGUAGUAAGCUCCGUUUCCGGCUUAGGAUCAGGGUCUGGAGAAGGGGGUGUCUGGAGGCGCCAUGUCGGGCCGGGAAGGUGGCAAAAAGAAGCCCCUGAAACAGCCCAAGAAGCAGGCCAAGGAAAUGGACGAGGAAGAUAAGGCUUUCAAGCAGAAACAAAAAGAGGAGCAGAAGAAACUCGAGGAGCUAAAAGCCAAGGCCGCGGGGAAGGGACCCCUGGCCACAGGUGGAAUUAAGAAAUCUGGCAAAAAGUAAGCUGUUCCUCAUAUCUGAGAUGAUGGUGACCCUCUUCCAUUCCUAUUUAAACAUCUGGAUUCCCUGCCAUAACAUCUUUGCCAUCUACAGCUAGAAUGAAAUGUUAUCCUGGAGCCUGUUAAACAUCUGGAUCCCCUACUAUAACAUCAUUGCCACCUAUAGUUAAAAUGAAGUGUUAUCCUGGAGCCUGUUGUACAUUGUAAUAAACUUUUGUAAAAAAAAAAAUAAUAAUAAUAAAAUAAAUAAUACAAUG